Molecule: long non-coding RNA, 387 nt
Filed under: Homo sapiens (human)
Lineage: Eukaryota; Metazoa; Chordata; Mammalia; Primates; Hominidae
Description: HSALNT0384113
Source: RNAcentral
AUUCCCAGCUCCCAGACCGGGAAACUGAGGCUCAGAGGGGACCUGGCUCCGGCCAAGGUCACGCCCGAGAACCUCUGUCCAUGACCAAUGGAUGACCUCAGGACAAGAAUGCAAUAACUUGGCCUGAUGUUGUGAAGUCACGGUCCAUCCAGGGAUGGGCAAGAGGAUGACCAGAACCAUCUCGAGAGGGGCUGGAAAGCUGCCUCACGUAUGUGGUCCUGUGCUGUGUCUACAUGUUCCUCACUCACCUCUACAACGCUCAUGGCACGAGGGAGGAAAUGGGGUGCAGAGGCUAAGGAACGUGCCCAAAGCCCUACAGCUGGUGUAUUAGUAAUCUACUGCUGUGUAACCAAUUGCCCCAAAAUUUAAAUGUGUAAAACAACAAAG